RNAcentral lists this ribosomal RNA (273 nucleotides) under uncultured bacterium. RNAcentral's name for it is "partial 16S ribosomal RNA". It matches the Rfam family "Bacterial small subunit ribosomal RNA", at positions 524 to 796 of the family's 1533-position model. The record is from RNAcentral.
UACAGAGGGUGCAAGCGUUAAUCGGAUUUACUGGGCGUAAAGCGUGAGUAGGUGGCUUCCUAAGUCGGUUGUGAAAUCCCUGGGCUCAACCUGGGAAUUGCAGUCGAUACUGGGAAGCUCGAGUUCGGUAGAGGGUGACGGAAUUCCCGGUGUAGCGGUGAAAUGCGUAGAUAUCGGGAGGAACAUCGAUGGCGAAGGCAAUCACCUGGGCCUGAACUGACACUGAGACACGAAAGCGUGGGUAGCAAACAGGAUUAGAAACCCCCGUAGUCC